ACUGAUGCCCGCGUCGCG
Molecule: small RNA, 18 nt
Filed under: Arabidopsis thaliana (thale cress)
Lineage: Eukaryota; Viridiplantae; Streptophyta; Magnoliopsida; Brassicales; Brassicaceae
Description: Ath_wt_11827
Source: RNAcentral